Molecule: long non-coding RNA, 744 nt
Organism: Zingiber officinale
Lineage: Eukaryota; Viridiplantae; Streptophyta; Magnoliopsida; Zingiberales; Zingiberaceae
Exons: 3
Source: RefSeq, a predicted model, not a curated record
GAUAUAAAACCUAAUAUUAUUUGUUUACUUCCCGAUUUCCUCUUCCGCCAAACCCAUCGCCGACACCACCACCGUCCCUCUCCCUCUCGCGAUUCUCUCUACUCGAUCCCGACCUUCUCAUCUCCUCUGCCCAUUUCCUUUUCCUCAUUUUGCCCUAGCAUCUGCCGAUACCGUCGUCGCCCGAUGCUCCGCGGCGAGUCUUCGCUCAAUGGCGCGUGUCUCCUGCCGAUGUCGCGUCGCGUGUCUCCGGCUGAUGAUGGCUGCCACGAGCCCCACCACCGACAGCGUCGGCCAUCACGAGAGCCAUCCUUUCCUCCCUUCAACUACCGGGUCGUGCCCUAGCACCGCCCCUCUCUUGAUCCUAAGACCAUUGCCGCACCGCACCCCACCGAUUGGCCAUCGUCGAGCCAUCUCCAUGCCCUAGUUGCCACCAUCAUCAAGCUUUUGUUCCAGUAUGAGGUCAUCAUCCAUUCCACUGCCGGUAGCUCCUCCCCGCCUCAUUCAUCCACAAUGGCUGUGGGGAUAUCAUUGUGAGCAGAUUGCUAACCUCACCUGCUCACUGUCGUUGGCGUUGAGUGCGGUUGCCAAGGAUUCAUUGUAGGGAAGGGAGUGCCCGAAGAAGAUCUUUGGUUGUGGUGAUCCCUGGUGGUGUGGAGGAUUGGUGUUGGAGAUAUGGACUGAGGACACUGAUACGAGACUAGUGUUCUGAAGUGAAGAAAGUACAACAUGAUCUACAGUUAAAGG